UAACCUCAGGCGCUAUAAAUUUUCAGCUA
RNAcentral lists this non-coding RNA (29 nucleotides) under Rattus norvegicus (Norway rat). Lineage: Eukaryota; Metazoa; Chordata; Mammalia; Rodentia; Muridae. The record is from RNAcentral.